This 220-nucleotide unclassified non-coding RNA is filed under the name Hevea brasiliensis (rubber tree). The record is from RNAcentral. Lineage: Eukaryota; Viridiplantae; Streptophyta; Magnoliopsida; Malpighiales; Euphorbiaceae.
GCUCCAGUGACCACUUCAAAAGGUUGCUAUAAAAGAUCAUAGUUUUACUGGUGACUAGUAAAGUCGCCACUAAGUGUGUCCUUUUUAGUGGAGACAAUUAACAAGUCGACCCCAAUAUAAAUUAAUCUUCUAAUAAAAUAUAAUUGAAAAAAAAAGAUAUUUAUUACGAUCAUAUCAGUUAAGAGUCGCUACAAAAGUCCCUUUUGCAGCAACCUUAUCG